CACGGCGGUAUGAAAUUAGCUGUUGGCAUCGAACACGCAAUGAUUUCUGGGAAUAUGAAAGGGGAACCAUAUUUUACAGUGUCAACUACUGGAUAUUUAUGUGAUUGCUGUGAAUUAACAAUAUAGAUAUAUGAAAGUGAUAGUUUGUGAAUAGUAUUCAUGUGGUCGGAGAUACAUUAUUAUGCAGUUGAACUUUAAAGGUUUACAGAAGAUGCUCCUUUGUGGUAUUUUUCAUAAGAGCAGAAGGAAAAUUUAGUAACACAGGUGUUGGGUUAAUCUCAGUUGCAGAUUUUUGUGAAAACAUAUUUCUAGUGAUAAGUUUCCGUUCCCAGUUCAUCCAUUGAUUGUAAUGCGAAUUUUUUCAAACAGCGAUUAUACAAAGGGAAAAAAGACGAAAUGCAGGCAUAUUGUUCUAUAAGAAGAGGCACGCAGUGUGGGCCGAUAAUGUACAGGCAGGAUGGCCGGCAAACCUGAGUUAUCAGCUGCUACUGGAGUGCAAAAUGUUGUAGUUUACGUUUCCGACGCAAACUUCGGCCAAACGUAUGCAGUUGGCCAGCAGAAUGUUUCACCUUUCAACACGCAAACAUCCCAUAAUGCGACAGUGGCAUACACCAACUCAUCACAUUCACUGGCCCCUGUGGAAGGGACGACCAAGACAUUUCCAGAAAAAAUUCGUUUACUCAAACCGUACACGCUUAACGGACAGUUUGUUAAUGAAUCGGAGGGAUAUUUCUCAAAUAACACGCCGCCUGUGAUAUCGGAGAAUGGUUUUCCGCAAACGUGCGCGACAAAUAUUAUAAAUAACAUAACCGAAUUUCAAAACGUAAAUGUAAAUAAUGGUACGGUUUUAAAUCAAAGUAAUUUUACGAGUACGUCGAUCAAAAACUUAGUCAAUUAUGGUGGCAAUAGUUCCGAAAUAUCAACCGAGAAAACGCCUGCUCCAGGCCGGCUCGAAGUUAGAGUACGCGAGGAAUGUGAUAUCCGUGAAGGUUACUCUUCCGCGGAUUCGGGUUAUGUGAGUGUUAUGGGUGGUGAUGGACCUUGCCAAAGUGUACGGUGUGAUUCAGUGAGAUCGGAAACUGCGGAAUCAAGUUGUAGUAGUUUAAGUUCUGCAGAUGAAGGAUUAUUUGUGAUUCAACCGCAAAGAUCUGAAAUGGUUGUUUAUGAUGGGAAUGUAAGCGUUAGGCCGGGUGGUGUUGUACUUGCCGUAGGAUCGCCCGAUACUCCUCAAGUGCAAUCCUCGAAUAUACCACUUGUACGAACUGUUCCAGGUCCCCCACCAUUGUAUGUCACUGUACCAUAUGGUUGGAAACGGAUACUUAACAAUGGAGUUGUUAUUUAUAUCAGUCCCAACAAUACCGCCUUGAGUUCCUUGGAUCAAGUGAAAGAAUAUUUAUUGACUCCUGGUACAUGCAAAUGCGGAUUAGAGUGUCCUUUGAAGUAUGAUACUGCGUUUAAUUUUGAUCCUAAGGUUUUUGGAAAGCCUUGGACUUUAUCUCAAGAUACAUCUUCCAUGGAUUUAAAUAAACUUUGUAACCAUAAAAGGAAAAUUAUUUCAAUGCUUUCAUUAGGGGACAAACAAUCGGAUCCUAUCAAAUUCCGGAAAGAUAUUUCAACAAAACGAAAGAAACGACGAAUCGGUAGCCCAUAUUCUGGCGUUUCAGUAUCUCAGCUUUUGGCACAACGUGAUAAAUUAGCUUUAUCCCAUCCAGUUCUAUGCAAAGGAAAUAAUUUAGGUUUUCCUAAUCAAGUUUGGCCUAAUGUACCUGGAAAUAAUGCACAGCAAGUCCACAAUCGAGAGUUCCCAGAUGGAAUACCUAACCAAAUUCCCCAAGGAUCUAAUUUACAGUUUUAUAGAUAUCAAAAUCAAGAAGCAUCCGUGAAUAGAGUACUCAUGGAUCCUCAGGCUAGUGGCGAUUCAAUGCAUUUGCAAACAUCUUCGAAUCCAAACAUAUCACGACAUCAGCAACAUUCAACACCACCUUCACUAUUUCAUGCGGUUCCCAAUUAUAUGAAACAGUGCGAUGUUCCUAACCCUUCACAAAUUCAACUACAUCAGCAACACAUCGUUGGUGCAAAUGGUCAAAUCAUAAGUCUUCAAAAUCCAGUUUAUCCGAAUGUUUCUCAUUUAAACAAUGGUGGUGGUGGAUCCAUGGGUAAUAAUCCUAAUGGAAUUAUUAUACACGACCCAACCGUAAUAACAAAUCAAGAACAACACCAAAAAUUGUUUGUCAAUAGUCCAAGUAUCGAAUCAAGUGGACCAGGACGGCCAAGUAUGCAGGCAUUACCUAUUGUUCAACCUGCACCACAAAAACAAGACGGUAAUCGAUUACAACAACAGGCCUUUUGCAGCGAAUCGUUUCAUUACCAAGGUGUAAUGCAACAUUUUGAUGGCAACAAAAAUGUGAGGCCAUCAUUUGUUCCUGGGAAUUGUACAGUUAAACCAGAUCCACAGUACAAUCCUAUAGUUCAGCAAAGUAAUCAAAUGACUAUCCAAAAUGCUAGUGCCCCCAUUCUUGUACACCAAAAGGAGAAGGCAUUAUGGCAAAGUCGACCACAGAAUAGCAUAUCAAACUCUGUUCAUAUUAAUCAAUCAUCUUUAUCUCCACAAGUCAAAUCUCAAACAGGGAAUGCAGAAGAACGAGUCCCACCAAUUUACCAACACACACCUUCUGUAUCGGUAUGGUCCGAUGACAUUGCGCGAAAAAAAGUGAAGGUGUCUAAAAACAUUAAGAAAAGACAAUUUGAAAACUCCCGGGUAGUUCAAGUAGAAUCUUCAUGCUCUAAUGUUGAUACUAGACAGCAAGCCAAUGAGAGUGAAAGAACGGCAAUUUCGGAGGAGUCUCCACAAAGCACUCCAAAUUCAUCUAGUCCAUCUUUUAUGGAAGAUCCUAGCGGUUACCUAGCACAACAAACUGCACUUCUAAAUAGUACCAUAUCAAGACAAAUGGGAAUGAAUAGCUGUGGAAAUUUCAUGUGUAGUAGUCCAGUCACAUCGGUUCAAAACACUCAAGUGCAACAUUUGUCGAGUUCUGAAGUAAAUGAAGUGCCUUUGCCAAGCAACAUUUAUGUAUCACAAGUCAAACAGAAUUCAAACAAAUUCAAUCAAAAUGUGCCCGAUCCUAAUAAUACAAAAAUGUUACACAUUUCUCAAAAUUCUGUGCCACAGCAGUAUAAUCAAACAAUUAUGGCAAAGGGACCAGCAGAUAGCACAGAUCAUAUACAGUGCCAAGUUUGCAUUGCCGAUACCGCCCAUUAUCAACAACAAAAAGUUGUGGAUCCAUCCAAUCCAUAUCUUACCAAAGAAUAUUUUCAAGGUAAUAGAGUUUUUGAUCAAGGUAGAUCAAAUGCGAACAAUCCAACUUCGUCAAAUGUAUUGGAUGAUCCCGUAACAUCAUCGACGUAUAUUGAUAAACAACCAAGCGAUGGAGAUUCCCCAGAUUCGAGGCCUAUUCAAGGAGGAACCAUUAGCACUAGUAACAUCUCGUCAUCGGAUUGUUCUCAAUCUGAGCCUUCAACACCAAACCCUCACACGCCCACAACACCUCAACCUAUAUUUUCUGAUACACCACAUCAUAAUGUGACGAGUAUGGCAAAUGUGCAACAGUCUUGUCCGGUGGAAGUAACAUUUCCUUCUUCUUACAACAACCCUUCAAGACCAAGCGAAUAUGUAAACCCGCAUCAACAAUCAAUGGCUGUGUCAAGAAUUGGUAAUUUAGGUUUAUCACAUCCUGGCGUUAUUACCACUAUGGCAAGCGGACGAACCGUUAGUUGUAACACAAUAACGUCGGUUUUAGCUGGCCGGGCCAAUACAUCGACCGUUUCUGUGAAUAGCCCAGUAAAUAUUCCAAUGAGCACGGUUCCUUCGGUAUUUACAAAUCAAGAUUCUCUAACCAUGUCAUCCAUUAAUGUACCGUCACAACCCAUCACUAAAUCUCCUCUGGAAAUGGUUCAAAGUGUGGUUAGCAGCAUUCAAGUACCGCAGUCUCAUAACACUUCGGCUGGAAGUAUUCAGCAACACAAUCAGCAAAUAUCGCCGCUUCAAAUUAUCAAACACUCACCUACGCAAGGUUUACCUCCCGGUCACAUUUUGGUGUCUUCUGGAGGACAGUUGAUAAUGGCAAGUAGCAGUAGUGGACCAAAUGUGAUGCCUCCACCUCUACCAAAGAUUGUUACAAAUCAAAAUUCUAUGCCUCCGAUAUCAGUGUCUCCUAUGGUUACAAAUGUUACGGCUUCAGUUACUCAAGUUAUACCGGCAGUUGCCCAGCAAGUGUUAGGGCAACAGACCGUUUUGGUAAACGCUUUGCCCGCACCUUUUAUGCUUCAGCCGGGUGUGACCAUGACAAUGGAUGGUAUGGCAGUUGCUCCCAACGUUCAAAUACCACAUUUAGUAGCUGGAAAUGUAAUUCAACCACAGCUUCAAGUCGACGGCUCUGAUCCUAAUCGUGUUUUAACACGGACCACUGCAAUUUUAUCACCUGACGCAAAGAAGAAAGGAAAGAAACGAAAAAUGCCUUCACAAACUAUCGCAUCAAUGUUACAAUAUGCAUCACAGCAGAAUUCUGGUGUAGUAAUGUCUCAACCUAGUUUCCCUCAACAAAUUCAAAUGGCACACAGCCCUCAAGGUUUAACUUCCGGUCCAGUUAUGCAAGCUUUAACCAUUGUUCCUGGAAAAACGGGCGCACCAACCCAAAUUGUAAUGAAUGGUCAAACGGUCGGUAACACAAGUCAGUUUGGUCCACAACAGCUGAUAACAAAUUCCAAUCAAACCCCACAGAUUAAUUUACUGCAACCCGUUAAUUUGAUCAAUAGUACCACAGGUAUGGUUCAAAAUUUCCCUACUAUACAACAGUUUAUUGUACCAAAUUUGGGAGGUAUGGUUAUGAAUGCGGACGGAACAGCGACCAUUCUUCCCGACACUUCUAAUUUGGGUAUGCAUCUACAAAUUCAAAAUGUGAAUGGGCAGAAUGUUUUAACGCCCGUGCAGAAUAAUAAUGUAUUUGGAGGUGGGCAAGGUAUUCUCGCGGCUGGUCCUGCAGGAAUGGUUAUUCGUACACCAAAUGCUUCACAAGGGAAAAUUAUACAACAGCAACACAGUCCAGGUGCGCAAUUUCUGUCUCCCAACGGAAAUCAGUUUGUAGUAAAUGGUGCCCAGUUUAGUGGCCAACUUAGUCCUCUUAUAACAAAUGUGAACCCGGCACAAGUUACUUUUAGUGCUGCGCCUCAAGCAAUUCGGCCUAAUGGAGCUGUUCAACAAAAUCAGCCAGAGUUUAUUCAGUGUGGUCAAGUGGGCCAAACUUUAGUUGUGCCAGCAGGGAACAUCACCGUGUCUACGGCAAACCAGCAGAAUACUACAUUUGUUCAACAAAAUACCACAAUUGUCCAACAACAAACCACCAUGGUUUCUAAUAACCAACACCUACAAAACAUGCAAGCAAGUAAUCAAAAUAAUCCGAAUGUUGCUAGUCGAACAACUACAUUGAAUGUAGAUCAGAACUUAAUUUUGAACGCCAAUGAUAAUCGUUCUCUGCAGGCGGUGCUCAUGCAGGGACAAAAUGCGCAGCUGUCCUCUGCAUCGUAUCGUCAUUCAGUUUCUACUCAAACAGCUGUAAAUCAAAAUAAUCAAGCUGUUACCACCAAUACAUUUUGUCAAACAUCUGCGUCUGCGGGUAGUCCCCCUGAUACUACUACUCUCAGUCCCCUCGCUCAGGAUGUACAUCGGCCACCUACCGCUGACACCACAACUCACAUGGAAAAUAAUGAAGACGGUUUAUCCCCAACUCCAUCAUGUAUCGAUAUAAAUGUGUUACAAGCUGGGUCAAAUUCGUGUUCGGUGGCAAUGGUGGAUUGCAUAUCUAGUAGUGAACCUGAUUCAGCGGACAACAGAGAGCACAGUUGGCCGCAAGUCCAUCCCCAGCCGAAAUUGGAAUUUACCGAGGUCAGUAGCGGCGAAGAUGAGUUACAGUUGCACACAACAAGAAAAUCGAAUAGUCCCAUACACAUUGAAUACCCGGAAUCGUCGACGAUGGGUUCCGAAAUUCACUACACAAAGGAACACAUAAAUCUUCAGGAAUCGACAGUUUCUUCUAAGAACGCUGAUAAAAUGUCCCAUAAGCAGAAGCACGCGAAUAUAGGGAUAGUUCCGGAAAGUAGGCAUAUAUAUUUGUCUCUCUUUCAGGAUGAAAAAGUUACCAUAGGGGCUGUGUGGUCAUAUGGCGAAAGUACGUGUUUUGUACACUUUGAGCCUAAAAGAGUUUAAAUAUUAGUUUGAAGGAAAUUUUAGUUAAGUCCUCCCACUAAGAAUUGGUUAGAAAUUGCCAACUAUCCACCAACUUAAAGAUGAGGCAUGCUCUGCAAAAAGGAACUGUGAUAAACAUAACCACCCAUUACGCAAAAUGUGGUGAAAAAAGGCAACAAGGUGAUUAUGAAGUAGAUGGGAUUCUGUUUACUAUUAAGUCAAAGAAGUUUACUUCAUUAAAUUUUAUUGGACCAACAUCGAAUAAUUAUUUGGAAAACUAUUUAUACAUUUCGGUUCUUAGGUGAAACAUAUUACACAAUAGCGCAAUACUGUGUAUAAGGGCGCCGAUGUAUUCUAAUUGGUGAAGUUUCCUAAAUGGUAAUAAUAAUAAUAGUAAAUAUUACAUUAUGGUUAUAUAAUGAAAAUAUUUUUAAAAUGCCUUUUUUAAAUUAGUGUAAGUGGGCACGUGGAUAUAAUAAUUUUGUUUGCCUAAUGUUUAAAAUUUAUUAUUAAUACAUACUAGUUUUAUUAUGUAAAAUCAUAACGUAAAUUGGGCUUUCAAUAAUCUUUGUCUAUUUAGAAUGUAUUUAAAAUAGAACAUAGAAUAUGAAGUAUAAAUAAACUUAUAAUGAUUCUUAUAACUGUAAUGAUAUAGAACAGGCCACCAGUACAUUUUGUAUUUUCUAGUCAAGCAUCUGAGCAGACGUUUGUAAUGACAAUAACAUUAUUAUUGGGUUCGUUAAUUUCGUACUGUGAUAUGCAGGUAUAAGUACACACAGUUAAAUAUUUCUUAAGUUUGCGUAUAUGCAUGCAGCUAUCAUUCAUUUGUUGUUAUAGUAUAUUAUAGCUUUUAAAAAGUAACCAUUUACAGCUGAAUUGUACUACGUUGGUUCUGUAGCUUUGAUAAUCUUUUGUGAAGUUUGAUGAUUUUAUAGCUUUGCACAUUUUAAAUCUAGUCUGUGGUUCUAAUGCGACAACUUUAUUGUAUUGCAAACAUUUUUUGUUUUUAGUUCUAUGUAAAAAAUCACUAGCGCUCGAUUACGUUCUUUCCCUGAAACCAUACGGCACAAGUAGCUUACAAAAUAUGGUCUGUUUGGGUAAUUGUCACUGUAAUUUACUUUCAAAAGCAGUAGUUAGAACUACACCAUUGUCAUUGGAGCGAUUUUCGCAGAAGUAUGGUAAAGGACAAUUCAUUUAUCAAACACAAUCUCCUAAUCUACCAACAGUAAAUUCUAAUUGAACAACCAAUAGAAAGAGCAAAGAAAAUCCCAGUGUAGUAAAUUGUGUAACAGUUUUUAUUGUAAAACUAAGUUUUACUAUUUAUGUAUUAGAAUACAAUCUGACGAAGUUAAUUUUAGUUCAUUUGAAAAGUAGUUUUCUUUAGCAAUGUUCCCACUUCUACUUUAAAUAAAGGCAUUGUCUUCCUUAGUGAUGUACUCCAAAACAACAGCUGCCAAUAGUAUUUUUGGAACACAUACGUUUUGAGUUAAACGCAGUUUAAAGUUUGUUGCAUGUUAUUAAUUUGUUGAGCGUGAUAUGGCCACAUGAUUCAACAAAGAGACCAUUAGUAAUUGCCAUUGGAGAUCAAUUACAAGAGCUUAUAGAACUCGAUCCUCCCGAAAUUAGGUACCUUUUCAUAGUUAAAAGUAUAGCAGAAAUUUAAAUCGAACAUGGAUAUAGUAAAUAACUAACAACAACUUUAAAAUUGCAACCACAACUUUUAUUUAACACUAUCGUAACCGAAUCUUUCAGAUUAGCUUAACAGUGUUGAAGGGGCCGAUUUUAGAAGGUGUCUUAAGAGUUUACAGAGCCUUUAUUUCAGUUGUAGAAAAAUGUAGUGUUUUUAACUUUGACUACAAAUUUACAAGCAGUUGAUUCUUAACAUUAUUUGAACCUAUAUCACGCUUUAUGUUUUGCAACAUACGCUGUGAUGUCCCUUUUCACAAACGAUGAUUAAUCACCGUUUGUGAACCACGCCUGAGAUAAUUCAAUCUUGCUACACUAAUUUCUUAGGCUGUUGAGUUCUAUCUACAUUCUAGUAGCUUUUUGAAAUCAAUUCCCCUUAGAAACAAAAAUGGAAAAAAUUAAAUUAAGAAAACCAUUUUUGACAGCAGAAUCAAUAACUUUCUUUAGUGGUAAAAUUGCGUAACAUAAGGUAAACUAUAACACAUGAAGCAACUAUUUAAUUAUAAGUUUUUCUACAAUAAAAAAUAAAGACACUGUAACAGAAUUCAAAAUCUUCCAUUUGAAGGACUGCAAAAGGGCUGUUGGCAGUUGGCAACUUUGCAAGAAUUGCUUUAAUUUACUUUGUAUCUAUAAUAGUACUAGUAAUAAAAUUAUCCCAGUGAUUAUACCAAAGAAAUCAAACUGUGCCACUUAUUUUUCUUUUUAGUAAUAUUGUUUAAAUACUAGUAUUCUUAUUGUUUUCACAAAAGUUUUGUUUAAUUUCUCAUUCCAGUGAUUUCAUUAUUAUACAGCAAAGCUAUAAAGUUAAUAAUUACAGUUAAUUACAAGUUAAAGUGAAAAUGCAGCUUACACCAUCGGGUGAUAUCAACAUCUCCUUUUAUCUUUUGCAUUAUAAAUAUUGCUUAAUUUGAUUUGUUUUUUAUAUAAACAAGCCAUAUGUUUUGGCCAUUUUAUUUUACAAAUAUCAGUUAUAUUUGUAUAAAAAAUGUAUUUGUAUAUAAGGUUUGGUCUACUUUGCUGAAUUAGUUGUACAUUUAUUAUGUUUCAAAUUACUUUAGUGAACCAUAAUUUGUAAAAUAUUCAAGUAGUUAUGGAUUAUUAUAAAAGGAUGUACUAUAUUUUUAUAUAUGUAUUUAUUGUUUACUUUAAGUUAUAUAGAAUUGCUUAUUUAUUGUAUAUUUAUAUUGCAAAAAAGAGGUUUAUAUGCUUUAUGUUUUAUUUAUUUCUAAUUUUCGACACAUCACGUUGCUGAAGUUACAUCAAUCGAAAUAGAUAAGCUAUUAGCUGAAAGUUUUUGUGCAUUUUAUAAUGGUAUUAACAUAUAUAAUUUAUAUUUCCUUUUUGUAAAUAUUUUUAGAGGUACCUGUUUCUCUAUGUCACUGAUUUCUAUUGUAAUUCUGUGUAAUUGUUAAUUACUCUUGUAUGGCUGGUCUUGUACAAAUAUUGCAAAAUGUGCUCACGCCUGCAAGAAUGAUUACAAGAAAAUAUAAUACAGUGUUAGCGCUACUUCAUCACAAGCAGUUGGCUAUGUGUGGUAGCACACCAUCUACUGUUUGUAAAUAUAUUGUAUUAACAAUACUAUUUGGCCUGCUAGUUGUUGAACAUUUUGUCAGCCCAAUAAAUACUGAACUAAUAUUUCA
Molecule: RNA transcript, 9564 nt
Organism: Photinus pyralis (common eastern firefly)
Lineage: Eukaryota; Metazoa; Arthropoda; Insecta; Coleoptera; Lampyridae
Gene name: mucin-5AC-like
Exons: 9
Source: RefSeq, a predicted model, not a curated record